GGUGCUGCGAGGGCUACGUUCAGCGCACGCGCACGCACGCGCGACGUCACCCUCCCCACGAAGGGGGUAAAAAAGUCCCCCGCGUUCCCAGCUUGGGGUGGUUUGCGAACAGAGUGACCAGCCGUUUGGUAAAAGUUAAAUAACGAACUUUCGUUAAAGGAGCUAGUCAUCCAGGUCGGGUCUUGAAGGAUGGUCGAUUUCUCCAGGAAUGAGGAUCUUUGAAAGCAACUCGGCGCCUUCAAAGCACUUGGUGAAACCUAGCCUAAAGCGUUGUCCCACCAUGCUCUGCGGCGAUAACGGCCUUUGGCGGGAAAGAGUCUCGGAGGCGGGGCCAAAGGGGGACGGCCCGGGCGGUUGCUCCGGAAACCCGGGUAUCUUCGUAGGGUGCGUCUAAUCCAGAGCUGAGUUGCGGGUGAUUGAACGGAGAGCUGGGGCGUUGGUUUGUCUUCCCGCCCCUGCUGCGAAUAGACCGUGGCUGCUUAGACAGAUGUGUCUAAUUUAGCGAAACCGAUUUAGAUUCCUUAAUCCUCUUCAUUAAGUACCGUUCCGCCUUCUCGUCAGAACUUUGCAUAGCUCGGGUCAGCACUCCUAGUGCUAGUCGCAGUGGGUCCGUAUCCCGACCGGCAACGUGGUACCCGCCAACCAGAAGGGGUAACACCGUACCGCCUAUGGGACCCACACCUUUUUAUCUCUUGUUAGUCGCCUGUCCGUGGGACUAGCGCAGAAUGCCUGCAGAAUGAAUCGUUUCUGUUGUUUCCUUUCAAAGAACGAGAAGGAAGAAAGGGUGCGUGUGUGCAGUCCUUUUUUCAAAAGUUUUCCCUAAAAGUUACUGAUACACCAGGUUUUGAAAAUACCGGUCCUCUCAGGUAAUAAAAUGGAGCAAAAUGGAUGUGAGAACCGUAACCACUAGAUACCGCGGUUGCUAUUCAGGACUGUGAUCCUGUUUGCCUGCGGCAUUGGGAGAUAACAUUUUACAUUUUUUUUCGACGUCUGAAAUCUGGAUUUUUAUGUGAAAUCCUGGGAUUUUUAAACGUCGCUAAUGAAUUAAAAUUCAAAUCAGGCUGGGCGCGGUGGCUCACGCCAGCACUUUGGGAGGCCGAGGCGGUUGGAUCACUUGAGGUCAGGAAUUCGAGACCAGCCUGGCCAACAUGGUGAAAUCCCGUCUCUACUGAAAAAACAAAAAAUUAGCCGGGCUUGGUGGCAGGCGCCUGUAAUCCACUCUACGCGGGAGGCUGAGGCAGGAGAAUCGCUAGAACCCUGGAGGCGGAGGUUGCAGUGAGCUGAGAUGGCGCCAUUGCACUGCAGCCUGGGCUACAGAGUGAGACUCCUCCAAAAAAAAAAAAAAGGAGGGGGAAACAACAACAAAUUAAAAUCAAACCCUGCAGUCAUAAAUUUGCCAUAACAGAUCUACACACUGAAUUUAAGGGAUAAUUUUCUUCAUGUUAUUUAUUUACAGUAGUCCCUUUCCGCAAGGAUGUGAGGCAACUUACAGAGAUACCAUAAAACAUGAAAACUAGAUGAGGCUGGGCGUGGUGGCUCACUCCUGUAAUCCCAGCACUUUGGGAGGCCGAGGCGGGCGGAUCACCUGAGGUCAGGAGUCGGAGACCAACAUGUCGAAACCCGUAUCUUCUAAAAAUACAAAACAUUAGCUGGGUAUGGUGGCGCGUGCCUGUAAUCCCAGCUACUCGGUAGGGUGAGACAGGACAAUCUCUUGAACCCUUAGGAGGUGGAGGCUGCAGUGAGCGGAAAUCACGCCACUGCACUCCAGCCUGGGUGACAGAACAAGACUCCAUCUCACACACACACAAAAAAAAUGCUAGAGUAAGAAAUCAGAGGAAUGGGAAAAUGAGGGGUGGAUUAAAUGAAAUACGCAUAAAUUACUAUACAAAAUGCCUGCAGUGAAAGCCCGUUGAAUUUGUUGAGAUAGAUUGCAAAUUUUACUUUAGUCUUCCCAGAAGUCACGGUAAAGAAGGGUACAGAAGUAUUGUGUAUUCAAAAUCCAAAGUGCCUUUGGGAUAAAAGUAAAUAGGUCAUUCAGGAGAAGGACAUGUUUUCUUAAUUCUAAAAGCUGAUGAAAUAUAUUUUACAAAUGUUUCUCGGUGACCCCAAAAUACAAAUUCAAUUUGAAAUGAGCAGGGAUGCUUGGUCUUGUGGCCGUAGAUCCUCGGUAUAUCUACAGAUGACCUUUGGUAAUCCUUGAGCUUUCUGUAAUAUUUUCGAAAAUUAUAUGCAUGUGUGCAUGUACAAAAUUAUAUGCAUGUGUGUACUUUUUUCUGGGAAGAGGAUUUGGAAUUUUAAUCAACUUCUUAAAGGAGUCCAUAGAUCCCAAAAGGAAAAAGAACUUCUGAAAUUUGUCAAGGGAAGGAUAGAUUGCCUAUUCUUCAGACCAUCCUUUAAGUAUAUAUAUAGAUGUGUGUUUGUGUGUGUGUGUGUAUAUAUAUAUAUAUAUAUAUAUAUAUUUUUUUUUUUUUUUUGAGACAGAGUUGCCCUCUGUCACCCAGGCUGGAGUGCAAUGGCAUGAUCUCAGCUCAGUGCAACCUCUGCUUCCCUGGCCUAAGUCAUUCUUGUGCCUCAGCCUUCCGAGUAGCUGGAAUUACAGACAUGUGCCACGAUGCCCAGCUAAUUUUUGUAUUUUUGGUAGCUGGGAUUACAGGCAUGAGCCACCACGUCCAGCUAAUUUUUGUAUUUUUAGUAGAGACGGGGUUUCGUCAUGUUGGCCAUGCUGGUCUCGAACUCCUGGCCUCAAGUGAUCCUCCGGCCUUGGCCUCCCAAAGUAGUGGGAUUACAGGCAUGAGCCCCUGCACCUGGCCGGCUUUUUUUUUUUUUUUUUUUUUUUUUUUUGAGACAGGGUCUUGCUCUUUCACUCAGGCUGGAAUGCAGUGGUGCAAUCACAGCUCACUGCAGCCUCGACCUCCUGGACCCAAGCGAUUCUCCCACCUCAGUGUCCUUCGUAGCUGAGACUACAGGUAUGCAUCACCACUUCAGACUGAUUUUUGUAUUUUUUGUAGCGAUGGGGUCUCGCCAUGUUGCCCAGGCUGCUUUUGAACUCCUGAAGUCAAGCGAUCCUUCCAUCUCGGCCUCCCAAAGUGGGGGGAUUACAGGCAUGAGCCAUUGUGCCUGGCCAGAGCCUGAUAUGUUUUUAAAUGAGAAGGUGACCAAAAAAGAUACUAUUUCAACAAAUCUACUGUUUCUAGCAUUGUUCCAUUAAGUGAAUGGCAGAAAAGAGGAGAGUUUUUAAAAACUUGCAGCCUGUUGAUUCUUUCAUUCAACAGUUAUUUGCUGAACACAUUUUCUUUCUGUUCUUUUAUACAUCAGUUUAAAUUUAUGCAGGCAAAGCUUCUGUUAAUCAUAAGUCAAUGAUAACUGAAGUGAUAACUGAAAUCAGUAGUUUAUAAUUGGAUAGUUCAUUUUAAGAAGGGAUGAGACAAUACACAUAGGUACUUUUAAUUUCAAGGUAAUUUCAUUCCAGAAAAAUAUAAUUGAAUUUGCUUUUUGUUUGUUUGUUUGAGGUGGAGUCUCGCUCUGU
Molecule: long non-coding RNA, 3526 nt
Filed under: Homo sapiens (human)
Lineage: Eukaryota; Metazoa; Chordata; Mammalia; Primates; Hominidae
Description: non-protein coding lnc-DYNLL2-3:2
Source: RNAcentral